This 160-nucleotide non-coding RNA is filed under the name human gut metagenome. RNAcentral's name for it is "Lysine riboswitch". It matches the Rfam family "Lysine riboswitch aptamer", at positions 11 to 172 of the family's 182-position model. From Rfam's summary of the family: Riboswitches are metabolite binding domains within certain messenger RNAs that serve as precision sensors for their corresponding targets. The record is from RNAcentral.
UAAUGAGGAGCGUCGAGCAAAAGUAGCCGUUCUGUCGGUCGUUCACGGACCGUUGCGGCAAAAGGGCAUCGUCGCCGAAGCGUUUAUCCCUCGUGGACGGGCUGAGCGUUGGGUGCAGCGGCUAAAUCCCUGCAACUGUCAUUCACCGAGAAUGGAGCAC